RNAcentral lists this long non-coding RNA (2536 nucleotides) under Homo sapiens (human). RNAcentral describes it as "HSALNT0216133". The record is from RNAcentral. Lineage: Eukaryota; Metazoa; Chordata; Mammalia; Primates; Hominidae.
CUUUAAUGAUCUCCUUACAGUUAGAAAACAGUCCAUUUUCCCCAUAAUCGGUAGUCGUUUCAUUAGCAUCUAAAUUAUAAUUCCUUAAUUAUAAGCCUAUCACCUAUUCUGCUUUCCAAAAAUUAAUCCAGAAGCUGUCAAAUACAAACUUAUGUUUAAUAAAAUGAACAUCUGUGAUCACACACCAGGAGCAAAAUCCUAAUUGUUCUAAACCCGGCACUUUGCUUUGACAACCAAGUACCUUUUUUUUAAAUACUUUAUUUCUUUAAAACACCUGCUUUCUUUACAUACUGACUUUUAAAGGAAGAGAUUAAAUUUUAUUGGCAGGAACAGAAGUUAGUCUCUAAAAUAGCAAAGGAAGAACUAUGCUUUAUAGAAAAGUUGCCUGCUACAUUAAAAAUAAACCAGAAUAUGAAUCAAAAUCCACAAAUCCAACAGGGGCCAAUCCCCAAUUUUCCCACAAAGAGAGCCGACAGUCUGAUAACCUCAGCUCUUUGGAAUUAGGCUGUUGGUGGCGGCUGCAGUCCUUGUUCCGAUGGUAGCCGCACCACCCCAGCCCAGGAUGGCUGUAUUUCCAUUAGAAUUGGCUGUCCUGCCCUCUCUGCCUUCGCCACCCCCCUUCGCCCAAGUCCGGUUAUUCAGUGAGUUAUAAUUUGGCACUAAAACUCAAUUAAGCUGAAACGUUGGUCAUACGUGGUGUUUUUCCCAGCAAAGCAUAAUUUCUUUGACCCAUUUUCCAAAUGUCAGUAGAUCGAUUUUAAAGCACAGAGAGGUAAAAGUUUGUUUAAAAAUCCAGCUCGCAUUUCUAGAAACUGGCUGGAAUUUUUUUUUUUUAAUUUCAAAUAAACAGUCAGGAUGUGGUGUUACUAUAUUAAAGCGCUUCAAGUUUUCAUAGCGCUCGUCAAACAGAGACCUCGGAACGCUCUGCAGACAUUAAUUAAUGUUCGCUCCGGCCCUGGAAGCCAUUUCACCAAUGGAAAUUCCGAUGAGAAAGGAAGAAACGAGGGGUUCAAGGCCGCGCCGUUGUGAGUCCGCUGCGGAACUAGGAACUGAAACCCCGUGGUUCCCAAUGAGCCAGCGAAAGUCUGUCGAAGUAUUGAGCACCCCUAUUGAAGACUGUGGGAGUUUUGGCGGCUUAAUGGGAUUGUGUUCGGUCCUUCAGGCUCUCCUUUAAAAGAUUCCAUGGCACCAACGAGACUCCAAUAAAAGGGCCUCUCUAAUUGCUUUCUGACUUUCUAUGAAACUUUCUAAGCUAUGCUGACAUCCUCGAAUACAACUAUGGAAUUAAAGAGGAGAGAAAGGCGAGGCACAGUGGGUGCGCAAAGAAAAAGAGGUUCUCAGCGGAGCGUGUGUGAGGCGGGGGGUUACGGGGGAGGGGAGACGGGGCGGGUGUGAAGUCUGUGCCGGGAAAAGAAAAAUAUGAGUGUUCUCUUUUGUGUGCGCACAAACAGCCGAGCGCGGGGAGGUCGGGCCCGGGGUCACGCGGCUCCGGGCUGCAGCUGCCGCCGUGGGGCGGGGGGUCCCAGGCGGCCACCGGGCGUCGCGGCCGCCUGCGGCAUCAGCAUUCCGGCGGCGCGGGCGGCCGCUGUCCUCGCGCGACCCCAGCCCGUCCAGAGCGCGCCCCGGCACCGACCCUCGGGGCGAGGCGAGCGCAGCCCCCGCUGGCCAACAAGCGUUGCCCAAAGUAGAAGCCCAUUCCCAGGAUGGAUGAAUCUGUGGUAAGAGAUAAACACAAGAAACAAAUGCCCAGGGGAGGAGGAGAAGCAGAUUGCCUGGGGCAGGUAAGAGGGCUACACCUGGAAAUGCAUCUGCUGGGGUUCUCACCCACACCAGAAUCUCUGGUCAGAGCAGCUCUCUUUGAAGAAUGCCAGACAAACAGAAACCUGGCCACACCCCCACCAGAGUUACCUGAUUGAAACACGAAUCUGAUCACUGAAAGCCUUCCUGCAUCCGUCUGCUGCACGCAGGAGGCAGCUCGGCCUCCUUCCCCAGUGGCCUCCCAGCCCUACCUCUAGAAUUUCCUGGCCCCUGCCCUCCUGCCACCCUGAUAUCUCUUACUCCCUAAGACACUUGUCCUUGUCGCCGACACGGGCCCAGCGGUGAGAGAGGCGCUCUCUGCCCAUUGCCCGUGAACACACUGCGUUCAGGGCUUCUCAGAGCAGGCCAGCCUGGUGGAGCUGCUUUGGGGCCUAGCUCUGGGGGUCUCAGGAGUACCCCAGCCUGCAGAUAAGGAACCCUAUGCAAUGUAUAAGGAAAGGAAAGCAUGGCCCAUGUGAGCACAGCAUUAGGGCCUUGGAACUCCGUGUUUAGCACCCCCCAUGCUGCAGCCAAACAUUGACACCCCAAGUUCUAGGACCCCAUGAGAUGGUGCCUUGCCUAGCCAGCUGCGUUGAUGUGUGGGAAGGGGCAUGUUGCGGAAAUCCUCCAGCAGGUCCUGGCUCCUGUCCUGUGCCCAGCACUGGCGUUCUUGUUCAGAGAACAAAGGCCCGGAGGCCCCUGCAGAACCAAGAAAGCCUGAAAGCCGUGGCUUUCAAAG